This 26-nucleotide non-coding RNA is filed under the name Trypanosoma brucei brucei. The record is from RNAcentral. Lineage: Eukaryota; Euglenozoa; Kinetoplastea; Trypanosomatida; Trypanosomatidae.
UGUCGGGUAGAUAUGCGUAUAAAUGA